RNAcentral lists this ribosomal RNA (496 nucleotides) under uncultured bacterium. RNAcentral's name for it is "partial 16S ribosomal RNA". It matches the Rfam family "Bacterial small subunit ribosomal RNA", at positions 28 to 507 of the family's 1533-position model. The record is from RNAcentral.
GACGAACGCUGGCGGCGUGCCUAAUACAUGCAAGUUGAGCGCUGAAGGUUGGUACUUGUACCAACUGGAUGAGCAGCGAACGGGUGAGUAACGCGUGGGGAAUCUGCCUUUGAGCGGGGACAACAUUUGGAAACGAAUGCUAAUACCGCAUAAAAACUUUAAACACAAGUUUUAAGUUUGAAAGAUGCAAUUGCAUCACUCAAAGAUGAUCCCGCGUUGUAUUAGCUAGUUGGUGAGGUAAAGGCUCACCAAGGCGAUGAUACAUAGCCGACCUGAGAGGGUGAUCGGCCACAUUGGGACUGAGACACGGCCCAAACUCCUACGGGAGGCAGCAGUAGGGAAUCUUCGGCAAUAGACGAAAGUCUGACCGAGCAACGCCGCGUGAGUGAAGAAGGUUUUCGGAUCGUAAAACUCUGUUGGUAGAGAAGAACGUUGGUGAGAGUGGAAAGCUCAUCAAGUGACGGUAACUACCCAGAAAGGGACGGCUAACUACGUG